This 698-nucleotide small RNA is filed under the name Oryza sativa Japonica Group (Japanese rice). Its description in RNAcentral is "sRNA Os06g0584400". The record is from RNAcentral. Lineage: Eukaryota; Viridiplantae; Streptophyta; Magnoliopsida; Poales; Poaceae.
AGUGCCCGGCCAGUCACAGGCAAACCAUCUACAUUCUACACACAUAUCUCACUCAUCCUGUCAUCCACCCAUCAACGUACGUACGUGUGAUCUGCUUAAUUGGGAGUUAGAAGAAGAGGCCGAGGUAAGUUGAAUUUGCUGCAGAGAGAGAGAGAGAGAGAAUCAAUGGCGCUUAUCCCGUCGCUGGCCGCCGCCCGCUACGCGCUGCUCGCGUUGCCGCCUCUCAUGGUGGCCGCGUAUGUUUAUAACGGCGGGGGUCGGGGAAAUGGAGAUAGACCGCGUGCAAGAAGCAUCAACAAAUUCACCGAUGGCGGUCCAGCUACCGCCGGCCCUGCAGCCCGGAAAGACAGCAGUGCCUUGUGAUCGAUCAACUGUAAGCCCUUCACACAUGUACUUCCUCCAUCUCAUAAUGUAAAUCAUUUUAGCAUUGCGCAUAUUUAUAUAUCUAGAUUUAUUAACAUCCAUAUGAAUACGGACAAUGCUAGAAUGACUUAUAUUAUGAAACGGAGGGAGUACGUAAUUUACCGAUGAUUGCUGUAUCCAACUAAGCUUUGCGGAUUUAUGUACGCACAUGCAACUACUAUUAAGCUUUAUGUCGUUGGUUUUCUCUACCGCGGUGCAUGUGUACCGCGAGAUAUGUAAAUUUAUUUCCAGUGCCUUUUUCUGAUGUAAUGAAAGUACUACGUACGUACGUCUCG